CCUUCGUCCACGCCCCACGCACGCCGCAUCUUCCUCGCUAACUCCUCCGGUUAUGCGGGCGAGAAUGAGGCCCUCAGAUCCCGUCACCGCCCCCACGCCAUUGGCACAGACCCCCCAUCCCGUCGCUAGGUGGAGGAUGCCGCGGAGGCAGCCGUGCCAACGACGAGCGUAGGACGCGGGUGGACUUCCCUCGCCCUGCUCUGCCGCCCCUGCAGCCCUCAUCAUCCUCGCGCUUCUCCCGAACCGGCGUCUCCCGUCCGCCUCGGCGCCUUCCGUAGCAGGCCAGGGCCGGAGCCGAGAAUGAAGCGUCCGCACGCGUCCAUCUCUCCCUUCGAGCCCCUUCGAUGCGCCCCCGACUGUCGCCGCCAUCUUCACUGGAAGCUCUACGAUGGUCAAGACUGGGGAAGGAUGCCGAAGAUGUAGAGGUUGUUGCCCCAGUGACGCUGGAGCCCAUUCAAAGGAACAGAAGAUGCGCGUUUUUCCUCCUGACCAUUUGAGUGGUGUUCUGUGCAAUUUAUGCUUGUUUUGAAAAUUUGGUUAUAGACGUCGAAUUUAUCUCCAAUCAUCUGUUGUACUAUAUCUUCUACAAUCUUUCAUAUUUUAGCAUGAAUUUUUUAAAAUUUGUGGUAGGAAGCUUGUAUGCCAUUCAUGGAUUGGACAACAUACAUGUGCUAUUUUCUUUUGAUUAUCCCCUUCCAGACUGUUCGGGGUUUCUAGAUCAGAAUAGUUUGUCCAAUAUACCUCUUUGGAUCUCAGAGAAUUCAGAAUAAGUUCUUACAACAAUCCUUACUAGAUAAAUCAUGUA
This is a long non-coding RNA of Triticum aestivum (bread wheat), 805 nucleotides long. RefSeq lists it as uncharacterized. The record is from RefSeq and is a predicted model, not a curated record. NCBI's taxonomy places the organism in Eukaryota, Viridiplantae, Streptophyta, Magnoliopsida, Poales, Poaceae. The transcript is spliced from 2 exons.